This 2170-nucleotide ribosomal RNA is filed under the name Escherichia coli. Its description in RNAcentral is "partial 23S ribosomal RNA". It matches the Rfam family "Bacterial large subunit ribosomal RNA", at positions 1 to 2188 of the family's 2925-position model. The record is from RNAcentral. Lineage: Bacteria; Pseudomonadati; Pseudomonadota; Gammaproteobacteria; Enterobacterales; Enterobacteriaceae.
GGGUUGUGAGGUUAAGCGACUAAGCGUACACGGUGGAUGCCCUGGCAGUCAGAGGCGAUGAAGGACGUGCUAAUCUGCGAUAAGCGUCGGUAAGGUGAUAUGAACCGUUAUAACCGGCGAUUUCCGAAUGGGGAAACCCAGUGUGUUUCGACACACUAUCAUUAACUGAAUCCAUAGGUUAAUGAGGCGAACCGGGGGAACUGAAACAUCUAAGUACCCCGAGGAAAAGAAAUCAACCGAGAUUCCCCCAGUAGCGGCGAGCGAACGGGGAGCAGCCCAGAGCCUGAAUCAGUGUGUGUGUUAGUGGAAGCGUCUGGAAAGGCGCGCGAUACAGGGUGACAGCCCCGUACACAAAAAUGCACAUGCUGUGAGCUCGAUGAGUAGGGCGGGACACGUGGUAUCCUGUCUGAAUAUGGGGGGACCAUCCUCCAAGGCUAAAUACUCCUGACUGACCGAUAGUGAACCAGUACCGUGAGGGAAAGGCGAAAAGAACCCCGGCGAGGGGAGUGAAAAAGAACCUGAAACCGUGUACGUACAAGCAGUGGGAGCACGCUUAGGCGUGUGACUGCGUACCUUUUGUAUAAUGGGUCAGCGACUUAUAUUCUGUAGCAAGGUUAACCGAAUAGGGGAGCCGAAGGGAAACCGAGUCUUAACUGGGCGUUAAGUUGCAGGGUAUAGACCCGAAACCCGGUGAUCUAGCCAUGGGCAGGUUGAAGGUUGGGUAACACUAACUGGAGGACCGAACCGACUAAUGUUGAAAAAUUAGCGGAUGACUUGUGGCUGGGGGUGAAAGGCCAAUCAAACCGGGAGAUAGCUGGUUCUCCCCGAAAGCUAUUUAGGUAGCGCCUCGUGAAUUCAUCUCCGGGGGUAGAGCACUGUUUCGGCAAGGGGGUCAUCCCGACUUACCAACCCGAUGCAAACUGCGAAUACCGGAGAAUGUUAUCACGGGAGACACACGGCGGGUGCUAACGUCCGUCGUGAAGAGGGAAACAACCCAGACCGCCAGCUAAGGUCCCAAAGUCAUGGUUAAGUGGGAAACGAUGUGGGAAGGCCCAGACAGCCAGGAUGUUGGCUUAGAAGCAGCCAUCAUUUAAAGAAAGCGUAAUAGCUCACUGGUCGAGUCGGCCUGCGCGGAAGAUGUAACGGGGCUAAACCAUGCACCGAAGCUGCGGCAGCGACACUAUGUGUUGUUGGGUAGGGGAGCGUUCUGUAAGCCUGUGAAGGUGUGCUGUGAGGCAUGCUGGAGGUAUCAGAAGUGCGAAUGCUGACAUAAGUAACGAUAAAGCGGGUGAAAAGCCCGCUCGCCGGAAGACCAAGGGUUCCUGUCCAACGUUAAUCGGGGCAGGGUGAGUCGACCCCUAAGGCGAGGCCGAAAGGCGUAGUCGAUGGGAAACAGGUUAAUAUUCCUGUACUUGGUGUUACUGCGAAGGGGGGACGGAGAAGGCUAUGUUGGCCGGGCGACGGUUGUCCCGGUUUAAGCGUGUAGGCUGGUUUUCCAGGCAAAUCCGGAAAAUCAAGGCUGAGGCGUGAUGACGAGGCACUACGGUGCUGAAGCAACAAAUGCCCUGCUUCCAGGAAAAGCCUCUAAGCAUCAGGUAACAUCAAAUCGUACCCCAAACCGACACAGGUGGUCAGGUAGAGAAUACCAAGGCGCUUGAGAGAACUCGGGUGAAGGAACUAGGCAAAAUGGUGCCGUAACUUCGGGAGAAGGCACGCUGAUAUGUAGGUGAAGUCCCUCGCGGAUGGAGCUGAAAUCAGUCGAAGAUACCAGCUGGCUGCAACUGUUUAUUAAAAACACAGCACUGUGCAAACACGAAAGUGGACGUAUACGGUGUGACGCCUGCCCGGUGCCGGAAGGUUAAUUGAUGGGGUCAGCGCAAGCGAAGCUCUUGAUCGAAGCCCCGGUAAACGGCGGCCGUAACUAUAACGGUCCUAAGGUAGCGAAAUUCCUUGUCGGGUAAGUUCCGACCUGCACGAAUGGCGUAAUGAUGGCCAGGCUGUCUCCACCCGAGACUCAGUGAAAUUGAACUCGCUGUGAAGAUGCAGUGUACCCGCGGCAAGACGGAAAGACCCCGUGAACCUUUACUAUAGCUUGACACUGAACAUUGAGCCUUGAUGUGUAGGAUAGGUGGGAGGCUUUGAAGUGUGGACGCCAGUCUGCAUGGAGCCG